Molecule: ribosomal RNA, 440 nt
Filed under: uncultured bacterium
Lineage: Bacteria
Description: partial 16S ribosomal RNA
Rfam family: Bacterial small subunit ribosomal RNA
Source: RNAcentral
CCUACGGGAGGCAGCAGUGGGGAAUAUUGCACAAUGGGGGAAACCCUGAUGCAGCGACGCCGCGUGAGCGAUGAAGUAUUUCGGUAGGUAAAGCUCUAUCAGCAGGGAAGAAAAUGACGGUACCUGACUAAGAAGCCACGGCUAACUACGUGCCAGCAGCCGCGGUAAUACGUAGGGGGCAAGCGUUAUCCGGAUUUACUGGGUGUAAGGGGAGCGUAGACGGUUCUGCAAGCCAGAUGUGAAAGCCCGGGGCUCAACCCCGGGACUGCAUUUGGAACUGUAAGGCUAGAGUGUCGGAGAGGCAGGCGGAAUUCCUAGUGUAGCGGUGAAAUGCGUAGAUAUUAGGAGGAACACCAGUGGCGAAGGCGGCCUGCUGGACGAUGACUGACGUUGAGGCUCGAAAGCGUGGGGAGCAAACAGGAUUAGAUACCCUGGUAGUC